GCAAACUUGGUCAUUUAGAGGAAGUAAAAGUCGUAACAAGGUUUCCGUAGGUGAACCUGCGGAAGGAUCAUCACUGAGAUCGGGGCGUGCGGCGGCAGCAGUGUGCUCUCUGCGCGCUCUGCUUUGCUGCGCCCCCAACCAAUCUUGUGUGCACUGUUAUAUCUUCCACAAAGUCAAGGAGACAUACCCGCGACACGCGUGGCAGCCUGUGUUGUGUGUUGGCAAGUGCGUGUAGUGCGCGCUUGCCAACCGCACACGCGCGCCAUGUCGUGUUGUGGCGGGUGUGUUCUUUUCUUGUUCUAUGUGUAAUCUCUUGUGUAAAUUACUGUCUAACGUUUUAUACAUAACUAACAUGAACACAACUUUCAACAAUGGAUCUCUUGGCUCUCGCAUCGAUGAAGAACGCAGC
Molecule: unclassified non-coding RNA, 409 nt
Filed under: uncultured fungus
Lineage: Eukaryota; Fungi
Description: partial contains small subunit ribosomal RNA, internal transcribed spacer 1, and 5.8S ribosomal RNA
Rfam family: Eukaryotic small subunit ribosomal RNA (bases 1-73)
Source: RNAcentral